CAAAAUGUAUGCUAAGUGGAAAAGGAUGUGGGGAUGCACAGACAACUAGGAGGUUGGCUCAGAAGCAGCCAUCCUUCAAAGAGUGCGUAACAGCUCACUAGUCGAGUGACCCUGCGCCGAAAAUGUACCGGGGCUAAGCAUACUACCGAAGCUGCGGAUUUGUAGUAAUACAAGUGGUAGGGGAGCGUUCCAUGCACGUGGAAGCCAUACCGUAAGGAGUGGUGGAGAGCAUGGAAGUGAGAAUGCCGGUGUGAGUAGCGAGAUGCAGGUGAGAAUCCUGCACACCGAUAGACCAAGGAUUCCAGGGGAAGGUUCGUCCGCCCUGGGUAAGUCGGGACCUAAGGCGAGGCCGAAAGGCGUAGUCGAUGGAAAACAGGCAGAUAUUCCUGUACCCGCGAUGGAAAUGAAGGAAUGACGGAGAAGGCUAGCAUGAGCCACUUAUUGGAUUGUGGUCGAAGCGAAUAGCAGGUGCACAGUAAAAUGCGUGCACGGGAUGUAAAACGUGACAGGUAAGCGAAACCCCUGGGGAGUAGCGAAGCAUGCGAGGCCAGCUUCCAGGAAAAGUUUCUAGUGCUGAUUCCAUAGCGGCCCGUACCAAAACCGACACAGGUGGGCAAGGAGAGUAUCCUGAGGUGAGCGAGAGAACUGUUGCCAAGGAACUCGGCAAAAUGACUCCGUAAGUUAGCGAGAAGGAGUGCUUAUGAAAGUAAGCCGCAGUGAAGAGGCCCAAGCGACUGUUUAACUAAAACACAGCUCUCUGCGAAGUCGCAAGACGAAGUAUAGGGGGUGACGCCUGCCCGGUGCUGGAAGGUUAAGAGGAUUUGUCAGUUUCGACGAAGCAAUGAAUUGAAGCCCCAGUGAACGGCGGCCGUAACUAUAACGGUCCUAAGGUAGCGAAAUUCCUUGUCAGGUAAGUUCUGACCCGCACGAAAGGCGUAACGAUUUGGGCGCUGUCUCGGCAGCAGACUCGGUGAAAUCUUAGUACCUGUGAAAAUGCAGGUUACCCGCAACUAGACGGAAAGACCCCAUGGAGCUUUACUGCAGCCUGAUAUUGGAUUUUGAUCAGAGAUGUACAGGAUAGGUGGGAGACGAAGAAGGAUGCACGCCAGUGUAUCUGGAGUCGACGUUGGGAUACCACUCUUGUCUGAUUGGAGUUCUAACCUGCGUCCAUGAAGCUGGACGGGGGACCGUGUCAGGCAGGCAGUUUGACUGGGGCGGUCGCCUCCCAAAGAGUAACGGAGGCGCCCAAAGGUACGCUCAGAUUGGACGGAAAUCAAUCGGCGAGUGCAAAUGCAGAAGCGUGCUUGACUGUGAGACAAACAGGUCGAACAGGGACGAAAGUCGGGAUUAGUGAUCCGGCGGUGCCGAAUGGAAGGGCCGUCGCUCAACGGAUAAAAGCUACCCUGGGGAUAACAGGCUGAUCUCGCCCAAGAGUUCACAUCGACGGGGAGGUUUGGCACCUCGAUGUCGGCUCAUCGCAU
Molecule: ribosomal RNA, 1481 nt
Filed under: human gut metagenome
Description: bacterial LSU rRNA
Rfam family: Bacterial large subunit ribosomal RNA
Source: RNAcentral